ACUCCGGUUGAUCCUGCCGGACCCGACUGCUAUCGGAUUGGGAUUUAGCCAUGUUAGUUGUGCGUUCCUUGGCUACAGGGGACGCAGCAUACGGCUCAGUAACACGUAGUCAACCUGCCCUGGAGACGCGGACAAACCCGGGAAACUGGGGCCUAUCCGCGAUAGAUGACCUCAUCUGGAAGGAGAGGUCGUCCAAAAGGGUGCACGGGUAUGCUCUGUGCAAACCGCUCCAGGAUGGGACUGCGGCCGAUCAGGCUGUUGGCGGGGUAAUGGCCCACCAAACCUGUAACCGGUACGGGCUUUGAGAGAAGGAGCCCGGAGAUGGACACUGAGACAAGGGUCCAGGCCCUACGGGGCGCAUCAGGCGCGAAAACUUCGCAAUGCGCGAAAGCGUGACGAGGCUAGUCCGAGUGCCUCCCGCUGAGGGGGGCUUUUCUCGGCUGUAAAUAGGCCGGGGAAUAAGGGGAGGGCAAGUCUGGUGUCAGCCGCCGCGGUAAUACCAGCUCCUCGAGUGGUCGGGACGAUUAUUGGGCCUAAAGCACCCGUAGCCGGUUCAGUAAGUCCUCUGUCAAAUCCAACCGCUCAACGGUUGGCUCGCAGGGGAUACUGCUGGACUAGGAGGCGGGAGAGGCGGACGGUACUCCGCGUGUAGGGGUAAAAUCCUUUGA
This 668-nucleotide ribosomal RNA is filed under the name Nitrososphaerota archaeon. RNAcentral describes it as "bacterial SSU rRNA". It matches the Rfam family "Archaeal small subunit ribosomal RNA", at positions 1 to 645 of the family's 1478-position model. Lineage: Archaea; Thermoproteati; Nitrososphaerota. The record is from RNAcentral.